RNAcentral lists this unclassified non-coding RNA (271 nucleotides) under Hevea brasiliensis (rubber tree). Lineage: Eukaryota; Viridiplantae; Streptophyta; Magnoliopsida; Malpighiales; Euphorbiaceae. The record is from RNAcentral.
GCCUGUUCCGUCUUUUGCAACCACAGCAUUCGCCUUAAUGGUGCCACUCUGGAGGAUUUUUCGAUCUUUCGCCGAUACCCACUUGGGAAAAUCCUCUACUUGCCCCUCUAGAGGUCUACUUCUGGUGUUGUUUUUAAGCUUAACAUUAUUACUAGUAAUCCUGUUGACAAGAGCUAAAGGGUUGCUGGUCAAUUGGGAGAGAUAAUCCAUUUUGCUAGAAAUUUUGGAGUUGAGAACACCGGCGGUUGAAUCUUUGCAGGCUUGUUGGAAG